GACCUCAAUAGAAUAAUUUGAUCACAGUUCUGAUCCAUAAACCAACUCCAGAUUCAUUUGCUUCAACCUUUCCUCUUUCUAUCUCCACAACUUGGUUGCAGGAAAUAAGAGAGCAUUGGAGAUUGUUGGUGAGAUCCAAGAAACAUGGGGUUCGUAGUGACAAGUCUAAUUUUCAUUGCAAUUGGGGUUGUUGCAUCUCUGUUUACUAGAAUCUGCUGCAGUAGAGGACCAUCCACAUGCUCUUUUUGUGUCUUAAUGUCAAUUUCAUUUCAGAUUUUCUAUUGAUUGUACCUAACAUUGAUCAUCACGGCGACCGUAUGUUGUUGGAUGAUAUUUUGGGAUCGGCCCUAGAUGAUUGUGAGGUUAGCAGCUGGACUUGCUUGUCGGAGACCCAAGGUAGAUCUGCUGGCGUCCGCAGACCCUGGAGUCCCUUCCUAGUUUCUUUAUUAUACUACUUCCUUUCUUUCAGAACAAUUGUAUUUUCUUUUAGACUUUGUUUGUAGUAAAUCUUAGAAGCUCGUGAAUCGUGACACCAAAUCCGAAUUGGAUUAGUUAUUAUGAGAUUUAUGUUAUUCCGCAGACUCA
Long non-coding RNA from Nicotiana tabacum (common tobacco), 585 nucleotides. RefSeq lists it as uncharacterized. NCBI's taxonomy places the organism in Eukaryota, Viridiplantae, Streptophyta, Magnoliopsida, Solanales, Solanaceae. The record is from RefSeq and is a predicted model, not a curated record.